AAGGCCUUAGCUUAAUUAAAGUGUCUGGGUUGCAUUCAGAUGAUGUGAGAUAGAAUCUUGCAGGUUUUA
RNAcentral lists this transfer RNA (69 nucleotides) under Praslinia cooperi. RNAcentral's name for it is "tRNA-Ala". It matches the Rfam family "tRNA". Rfam says of the family: Transfer RNA (tRNA) molecules are approximately 80 nucleotides in length. Their secondary structure includes four short double-helical elements and three loops (D, anti-codon, and T loops). The record is from RNAcentral. Lineage: Eukaryota; Metazoa; Chordata; Amphibia; Gymnophiona; Indotyphlidae.